CGAGUGGCGGACGGGUGAGUAAUGUCUGGGAAACUGCCUGAUGGGGGGGGGUAACUACUGGAAACGGUAGCUAAUACCGCAUAACGUCGCAAGACCAAAGAGGGGGACCUUCGGGCCUCUUGCCAUCGGAUGUGCCCAGAUGGGAUUAGCUAGUAGGUGGGGUAACGGCUCACCUAGGCGACGAUCCCUAGCUGGUCUGAGAGGAUGACCAGCCACACUGGAACUGAGACACGGUCCAG
RNAcentral lists this ribosomal RNA (239 nucleotides) under uncultured bacterium. RNAcentral's name for it is "partial 16S ribosomal RNA". It matches the Rfam family "Bacterial small subunit ribosomal RNA", at positions 92 to 334 of the family's 1533-position model. The record is from RNAcentral.